Molecule: long non-coding RNA, 269 nt
Filed under: Nicotiana benthamiana
Lineage: Eukaryota; Viridiplantae; Streptophyta; Magnoliopsida; Solanales; Solanaceae
Description: long non-coding RNA (NBEN_LNC018399)
Source: RNAcentral
UUUUCUUAAAAUAUAUUCCUGCUACUCUCACUAUGUUUCAAACCAGUUUUGCAUUUUAUUUGCCUUGAACCUGCUAAUUUUGUUUGUUUGUUUUUUCAUGAGUCUCUGAUAGAGACCUCUAAGCCUGUUUCAAUGGCUUGCCUUCUCGUCUUUGUAUCUUACUCGAGUUGUAAACCCUAGAGUUUGGGGUUCUCUUUUGGUGAUUUUGAUCUUGUGUGUGGACUGGGAUUCCAUUGUGGAACCCUAUAUUUUCUCAAACCCAUUUUGAG